This 72-nucleotide transfer RNA is filed under the name Amycolatopsis rubida. RNAcentral's name for it is "tRNA_Gln_TTG". It matches the Rfam family "tRNA". From Rfam's summary of the family: Transfer RNA (tRNA) molecules are approximately 80 nucleotides in length. Lineage: Bacteria; Bacillati; Actinomycetota; Actinomycetes; Pseudonocardiales; Pseudonocardiaceae. The record is from RNAcentral.
UCCCGGUGGGUGUGACCGGCAGCAUCGCGGACUUUGGAUCCGCGAGCCCAGGUUCGAAUCCUGGACCGGGAG